UCCCCGGUGGCUCAGUAGUAAAGAAUCUGCCUGCAAAGCAGAAGACCUGGGUUCGAGCCCUGGUUGGGAAG
Molecule: transfer RNA, 71 nt
Filed under: Ovis aries (sheep)
Lineage: Eukaryota; Metazoa; Chordata; Mammalia; Artiodactyla; Bovidae
Rfam family: tRNA
About the family: Transfer RNA (tRNA) molecules are approximately 80 nucleotides in length.
Source: Rfam by way of RNAcentral